ACCGAGUUUACAACUCCCCAAACCCCUGUGAACAUACCUAUCGUUGCUUCGGGCGGAUCCGCCCGCGGCGCCCUCGGGCCCGGAUACAGGCGCCCGCCGGAGACCCCAAAACUCUUGUAGUUUCUUUAGUAUCUUCUGAGUAAAAACAAGCAAAUAAAUUA
Molecule: unclassified non-coding RNA, 161 nt
Filed under: soil metagenome
Description: partial internal transcribed spacer 1
Source: RNAcentral